Non-coding RNA from Pangasianodon gigas (Mekong giant catfish), 72 nucleotides. Lineage: Eukaryota; Metazoa; Chordata; Actinopteri; Siluriformes; Pangasiidae. The record is from the annotation of a GenBank genome assembly.
GCUGUGUUUGCAGGCAUUGUGGUUGUAGUUAUGACUGGUGUGGUUCUGAUGGCUGGGGUUGUGGCAUCUAUG